Molecule: regulatory RNA element, 32 nt
Organism: Flavobacterium indicum
Lineage: Bacteria; Pseudomonadati; Bacteroidota; Flavobacteriia; Flavobacteriales; Flavobacteriaceae
Rfam family: S4-Flavobacteria ribosomal protein leader
Source: Rfam
GAUUAUCGAAGGAAAGACCUUAAUUCAUAAUC